Molecule: ribosomal RNA, 360 nt
Filed under: uncultured bacterium
Lineage: Bacteria
Description: bacterial SSU rRNA
Rfam family: Bacterial small subunit ribosomal RNA
Source: RNAcentral
GAUGAACGCUGGCGGCGUGCCUAAUACAUGCAAGUCGAACGAGAACUAUUGUAGCAAUACGAUAGUUCUAGUGGCGAACGGGUGAGUAACGCGUUGGUGAUCUGCCCCGAAGUGGAGGAUAACAGUCCGAAAGGACUGCUAAUACUCCAUGUGGCUGCAAGAGUUAGAGGUCUUGCUACCAAAGAAGCAAUUCGCUUCGGGAGAGCCUGCGUCCCANCAGCUAGUUGGUAGGGUAAUGGCCUACCAAGGCUUAGACGGGUAGGGGACCUGAGGAGGGUGACCCCCACACUGGAACUGAAACACGGUCCAGACACCUACGGGUGGCAGCAGUAGGGAAUAUUGCACAAUGGGCGAAAGCCU